CGCGUAGGUGGUUUGGUAAGCGAUAUGUGAAAGCCCCGGGCUUAACCUGGGAACUGCAUGUCGAACUGUCAGGCUAGAGUAUGGUAGAGGGGUGUGGAAUUUCCUGUGUAGCGGUGAAAUGCGUAGAUAUAGGAAGGAACAUCAGUGGCGAAGGCGACACCCUGGACCGAUACUGACACUGAGGCGCGAAAGCGUGGGUAGCGAACA
This 207-nucleotide ribosomal RNA is filed under the name uncultured bacterium. Its description in RNAcentral is "partial 16S ribosomal RNA". It matches the Rfam family "Bacterial small subunit ribosomal RNA", at positions 568 to 774 of the family's 1533-position model. The record is from RNAcentral.